RNAcentral lists this ribosomal RNA (253 nucleotides) under uncultured bacterium. Its description in RNAcentral is "partial 16S ribosomal RNA". It matches the Rfam family "Bacterial small subunit ribosomal RNA", at positions 524 to 776 of the family's 1533-position model. The record is from RNAcentral.
UACGUAGGGUCCAAGCGUUAAUCGGAAUUACUGGGCGUAAAGCGUGCGCAGGCGGUUUCGCAAGUCAGAUGUGAAAGCCCCGGGCUCAACCUGGGAACUGCAUUUGAAACUACGAGGCUAGAGUGUGUCAGAGGGGGGUAGAAUUCCACGUGUAGCAGUGAAAUGCGUAGAGAUGUGGAGGAAUACCGAUGGCGAAGGCAGCCCCCUGGGAUGACACUGACGCUCAUGCACGAAAGCGUGGGGAGCAAACAGG